AGGGUUGGUCUGUUCGCCCAUUAAAGCGGCACGCGAGCUGGUUUCAGAAGUUCGGAGGAUCGUUCGGUCCCGCUCGGUCGCGGGCGUUUGAAAUGUGAGAGGAGCUGUCCUUAGUACGAGAGGACCGGGAUGGACUUACCGCUGGUGUACCAGUUGUUCUGCCAAGGGCAUUGCUGGGUAGCUAUGUAGGGAAGGGAUAAACGCUGAAAGCAUCUAAGUGUGAAGCCCACCUCAAGAUGAGAUUUCCCAUUUCUUUAAGAAAGUAAGAUCCCUGAGAGAUGAUCAGGUAGAUAGGUCAGGAGUGGAAGUACAGUGAUGUAUGGAGCGGACUGAUACUAAUCGAUCGAGGACUUAACCAAU
RNAcentral lists this ribosomal RNA (360 nucleotides) under Enterococcus faecium. RNAcentral's name for it is "bacterial LSU rRNA". It matches the Rfam family "Bacterial large subunit ribosomal RNA", at positions 2568 to 2925 of the family's 2925-position model. Lineage: Bacteria; Bacillati; Bacillota; Bacilli; Lactobacillales; Enterococcaceae. The record is from RNAcentral.